UGAAUACGAGAUGCUACGGCGUCGAAGCAGUCUAUGUCAUACUUCCAAGAAAAGCUCGCACUGUCAUAAACAAAUAAUGCCUGUACCAUAACCGACACAGGUGGGUAGGUAGAGUAUACUAAGGGGCGCGAGAUAACUCUCUCUAAGGAACUCGGCAAAAUGACUCCGUAACUUCGGGAGAAGGAGUGCCUUAUUUAUAAGGUUGCAAUAACAAGAUCCAAGCAACUGUUUAUCAAAAACACAGGUCUCCGCUAAGUCGUAAGACGAUGUAUGGGGGCUGACGCCUGCCCAGUGCCAGAAGGUUAAAGAAGUUGGUUAGCAUUCGCGAAGCUGAUAACUGAAGCCCUGGUGAACGGCGGCCGUAACUAUAACGGUCCUAAGGUAGCGAAAUUCCUUGUCGGGUAAGUUCCGACCCGCACGAAAGGCGUAAUGAUUUGGAUACUGUCUCGGAGAGGGGCUCGGUGAAAUAGACUUGUCUGUGAAGAUGCGGACUACCUGCACCAGGACAGAAAGACCCUAUGAAGCUUUACUGUAACUUGAGAUUGAAAUUGGACUUUACUUGCGCAGUAUAGGUGGGAGGCGUUGAUAAUAUUCUUGCGGGAUUAUUUGAGCCAUCAGUGAGAUACCACUCUUGUAAUGUUAGAUUUCUAACUUUGUAUCAUUAUCUGGUCAAAGGACAGUUUCAGGCGGGCAGUUUGACUGGGGCGGUCGCCUCCUAAACGGUAACGGAGGCGCACAAAGGUUUCCUCUGAACGGGUAGAAAUCGUAUCUAGAGUGUAAAGGCAUAAGGAAGCUUGACUGUGAGACCUACAAGUCGAGCAGGGACGAAAGUCGGUCUUAGUGAUCUGACGGUGCUGAGUGGAAAGGCCGUCACUCAACGGAUAAAAGUUACUCUAAGGAUAACAGGCUGAUCUCCCCCAAGAGUUCACAUCGACGGGGAGGUUUGGCACCUGGAUGUCGGCUCAUCGCAUCCUGGGGCGGUAGUACGUCCCAAGGGUUGGGCUGUUCGCCCAUGAAAGCGGUACGCGAGCUGGGUUCAGAACGUCGUGAGACAGUUCGGUCCAUAUCCGGUGUAGGCGUUAGAAUAUUGAGAGGAGCCUUCUUUAGUACGAGAGGACCGAGAAGGACACACCUCUGGUGUACCAGUUAUCGUGCCAACGGUAAACGCUGGGUAGCUAUGUAUGGAGUGGAUAACCGCUGAAAGCAUCUAAGUGGGAAGCCCACCUCAAGAUAAG
This 1235-nucleotide ribosomal RNA is filed under the name metagenome. RNAcentral describes it as "bacterial LSU rRNA". It matches the Rfam family "Bacterial large subunit ribosomal RNA", at positions 1564 to 2808 of the family's 2925-position model. The record is from RNAcentral.